CCAAGCGUACACGGUGGAUGCCCUGGCAGUCAGAGGCGAUGAAGGACGUGCUAAUCUGCGAUAAGCGCCGGUAAGGUGAUAUGAACCGUUAUAACCGGCGAUUUCCGAAUGGGGAAACCCAGUGUGAUUCGUCACACUAUCAUUAACUGAAUCCAUAGGUUAAUGAGGCGAACCGGGGGAACUGAAACAUCUAAGUACCCCGAGGAAAAGAAAUCAACCGAGAUUCCCCCAGUAGCGGCGAGCGAACGGGGAGGAGCCCAGAGCCUGAAUCAGCAUGUGUGUUAGUGGAAGCGUCUGGAAAGGCGCGCGAUACAGGGUGACAGCCCCGUACACAAAAGCGCAUAUGCUGUGAGCUCGAUGAGUAGGGCGGGACACGUGGUAUCCUGUCUGAAUAUGGGGGGACCAUCCUCCAAGGCUAAAUACUCCUGACUGACCGAUAGUGAACCAGUACCGUGAGGGAAAGGCGAAAAGAACCCCGGCGAGGGGAGUGAAACAGAACCUGAAACCGUGUACGUACAAGCAGUGGGAGCACAGGUUUACCUGUGUGACUGCGUACCUUUUGUAUAAUGGGUCAGCGACUUAUAUUCUGUAGCAAGGUUAACCGCAUAGGGGAGCCGAAGGGAAACCGAGUCUUAAUUGGGCGUUAAGUUGCAGGGUAUAGACCCGAAACCCGGUGAUCUAGCCAUGGGCAGGUUGAAGGUUGGGUAACACUAACUGGAGGACCGAACCGACUAAUGUUGAAAAAUUAGCGGAUGACCUGUGGCUGGGGGUGAAAGGCCAAUCAAACCGGGAGAUAGCUGGUUCUCCCCGAAAGCUAUUUAGGUAGCGCCUCGUGAAUUCAUCUCCGGGGGUAGAGCACUGUUUCGGCUAGGGGGCCAUCCCGGCUUACCAACCCGAUGCAAACUGCGAAUACCGGAGAAUGUUAUCACGGGAGACACACGGCGGGUGCUAACGUCCGUCGUGAAGAGGGAAACAACCCAGACCGCCAGCUAAGGUCCCAAAGUCAUGGUUAAGUGGGAAACGAUGUGGGAAGGCCCAGACAGCCAGGAUGUUGGCUUAGAAGCAGCCAUCAUUUAAAGAAAGCGUAAUAGCUCACUGGUCGAGUCGGCCUGCGCGGAAGAUGUAACGGGGCUAAACCAUGCACCGAAGCUGCGGCAGCGAACGUAUCACUUAAAACGAUUCAGAAGCUUACGAUUGACGGAGCGAAGCGACGUCAAAGCGUAUACAAAGUCGAGUCGGUUUAAGGAUACGUUCGUUGGGUAGGGGAGCGUUCUGUAAGCCUGCGAAGGUGGCCUGUGAGGGUUGCUGGAGGUAUCAGAAGUGCGAAUGCUGACAUAAGUAACGAUAAAGCGGGUGAAAAGCCCGCUCGCCGGAAGACCAAGGGUUCCUGUCCAACGUUAAUCGGGGCAGGGUGAGUCGACCCCUAAGGCGAGGCCGAAAGGCGUAGUCGAUGGGAAACGGGUUAAUAUUCCCGUACUUGGUGUUACUGCGAAGGGGGGACGGAGAAGGCUAUGUUGGCCGGGCGACGGUUGUCCCGGUUUAAGCGUGUAGGCUGACUUUCCAGGCAAAUCCGGAGAGUCAAGGCUGAGGCGUGACGACGAGGCACCACGGUGCUGAAGCAACAAAUGCCCUGCUUCCAGGAAAAGCCUCUAAGCAUCAGGUAACAUCAAAUCGUACCCCAAACCGACACAGGUGGUCAGGUAGAGAAUACCAAGGCGCUUGAGAGAACUCGGGUGAAGGAACUAGGCAAAAUGGUGCCGUAACUUCGGGAGAAGGCACGCUGACACGUAGGUGAAGUGAUUUACUCAUGGAGCUGAAGUCAGUCGAAGAUACCAGCUGGCUGCAACUGUUUAUUAAAAACACAGCACUGUGCAAACACGAAAGUGGACGUAUACGGUGUGACGCCUGCCCGGUGCCGGAAGGUUAAUUGAUGGGGUCAGCGCAAGCGAAGCUCCUGAUCGAAGCCCCGGUAAACGGCGGCCGUAACUAUAACGGUCCUAAGGUAGCGAAAUUCCUUGUCGGGUAAGUUCCGACCUGCACGAAUGGCGUAAUGAUGGCCAGGCUGUCUCCACCCGAGACUCAGUGAAAUUGAACUCGCUGUGAAGAUGCAGUGUACCCGCGGCAAGACGGAAAGACCCCGUGAACCUUUACUAUAGCUUGACACUGAACAUUGAGCCUUGAUGUGUAGGAUAGGUGGGAGGCUUUGAAGCGUGGACGCCAGUCUGCGUGGAGCCGGCCUUGAAAUACCACCCUUUAAUGUUUGAUGUUCUAACGUGGACCCGUGAUCCGGGUUGCGGACAGUGUCUGGUGGGUAGUUUGACUGGGGCGGUCUCCUCCUAAAGAGUAACGGAGGAGCACGAAGGUUGGCUAAUCCUGGUCGGACAUCAGGAGGUUAGUGCAAUGGCAUAAGCCAGCUUGACUGCGAGCGUGACGGCGCGAGCAGGUGCGAAAGCAGGUCAUAGUGAUCCGGUGGUUCUGAAUGGAAGGGCCAUCGCUCAACGGAUAAAAGGUACUCCGGGGAUAACAGGCUGAUACCGCCCAAGAGUUCAUAUCGACGGCGGUGUUUGGCACCUCGAUGUCGGCUCAUCACAUCCUGGGGCUGAAGUAGGUCCCAAGGGUAUGGCUGUUCGCCAUUUAAAGUGGUACGCGAGCUGGGUUUAGAACGUCGUGAGACAGUUCGGUCCCUAUCUGCCGUGGGCGCUGGAGAACUGAGGGGGGCUGCUCCUAGUACGAGAGGACCGGAGUGGACGCAUCACUGGUGUUCGGGUUGUCAUGCCAAUGGCACUGCCCGGUAGCUAAAUGCGGAAGAGAUAAGUGCUGAAAGCAUCUAAGCACGAAACUUGCCCCGAGAUGAGUUCUCCCUGAGACUUUAAGUCUCCUGAAGGAACGUUGAAGACGACGACGUUGAUAGGCCGGGUGUGUAAGCGCAGCGAUGCGUUGAGCUAACCGGUACUAAUGAACCGUGAGGCUUAACC
RNAcentral lists this ribosomal RNA (2975 nucleotides) under Salmonella enterica subsp. salamae serovar 53:lz28:z39. RNAcentral describes it as "bacterial LSU rRNA". It matches the Rfam family "Bacterial large subunit ribosomal RNA". The record is from RNAcentral. Lineage: Bacteria; Pseudomonadati; Pseudomonadota; Gammaproteobacteria; Enterobacterales; Enterobacteriaceae.